CAAUAGCGUAUAUUAAAGUUGUUGCAGUUAGAACGCUCGUAGUCGGAUUUCGGGGCGGGCGGGCCGGUCUGCCGAUGGGCAUGCACUGGUCUGGCCGUCCUUCCUUCCGGAGACCGUGCGUGCUCUUAACUGAGUGCGCUCGGGAGACGGAUCGUUUACUUUGAAAAAAUCAGAGUGUUUCAAGCAGGCAGCUCGCUCUUGCAUGGAUUAGCAUGGGAUAAUGAAAUAGGACUUUGGUGCUAUUUUGUUGGUUUCGAACACCGAAGUAAUGAUUAACAGGGACAGUCAGGGGCACUCGUAUUCCGCCGAGAGAGGUGAAAUUCUCAGACCAGCGGAAGACGAACCACUGCGAAAGCAUUUGCCAGGGAUGUUUUCACUG
Molecule: ribosomal RNA, 379 nt
Filed under: uncultured eukaryote
Lineage: Eukaryota
Description: partial 18S ribosomal RNA
Rfam family: Eukaryotic small subunit ribosomal RNA
Source: RNAcentral